RNAcentral lists this transfer RNA (84 nucleotides) under Mycobacterium koreense. RNAcentral describes it as "Mycolicibacillus koreensis tRNA-Tyr". It matches the Rfam family "tRNA". From Rfam's summary of the family: Transfer RNA (tRNA) molecules are approximately 80 nucleotides in length. Their secondary structure includes four short double-helical elements and three loops (D, anti-codon, and T loops). Lineage: Bacteria; Bacillati; Actinomycetota; Actinomycetes; Mycobacteriales; Mycobacteriaceae. The record is from RNAcentral.
GCCGGUGAGGCACCAGUUGGCAGGUGCGGCGGGCCGUAACCCCGCUGCCUUCGGGCUUCGGGGGUUCGAUUCCCUCCACCGGUA